UUCACCUUCUCAUAACAGAAAGCAGGAAAUUUGCAGACAUGAGAAUCAUUUCUGUGUUAAUGUAAUUCUCUAGAGUGCAGCCUACACAUGACUGAUAACGACAUAAAGGAUCAUUUAUCUAAUUAUUAUCAUUUUCAUGGAUUAUGGUGUAGAUUCAGAUUAAUUUGAGGGAACUGGAAAUAGAUCACUUUUCAAUCUGACCUUCACAGGAAGCGUUAAUUACAUCACAACACGUUCAUAUCAUUAUUAAUAAUAACAAACAGCUGAAUUAUUUCCCACAUUAAAUUGAUAUGGAGAUGAAACGGGGUGUGAGUGUGAUUAACAGCUGCAGAGCUGCACUCAACACAGCCUCUCUGUAAUGUUUAUGCAAAUCUGCAUCUCCUCUUGUAAUAUUAGCAGCGUUCUGAUCUAGAGAGGAAACACUUCUCAUUAGUCUUCCUUCAACACAAACAUGUUUGCUUCAGCUCCACUGCUGCUGCUGGCUCUCGCCCCCUAUGUGUUCUGUGCUACUGAGCUCAUCCAGCCAGACUCACUGCUUAUAAAGCCAGGAGAGACUUUAACCAUCACCUGUAAAGUGUCUGGAGCUUCUAUCACUGAUAGCAGCAGCCACAUUGGAACAGCUUGGAUUCGACAACCUGCAGGAAAAGCUUUAGAAUGGAUCAACACCAUUUAUUAUAGUGGGAGUAUUGAUAAGAAAGAUUCAUUUAAAGACAAGUUUGUGGUCUCUCGAGACACUUCCAGUAACUCUGUGACCUUACGGGGACAGAACACGCAGACUGAAGACACAGCUGUGUAUUACUGCGCUCGAAGACCACACAGUGACAUGACAAGCUGCAGUGCUGCACAAAAACCUCAUCACAAUUUACUUCUUUAAUUAAAUAAUAACUACAUUUUACUGAGUAACUAAUCCCCAUAUUACAAUUAUUUCAGCAUAGACACCAACACUGGCAUUAAUAAAAUAAAUAAAUAAAAGUUUACUUAGGAAUAAUGGUCUCUUUUUAUAACUAGUUGAAAUGAAAUGUGUCUGCAAAAGACAUUUAUUAUAAAGAACAACAUCCAUUCACACUCAGCACUCAGGCUUUAACUCUUCAUCU
This is a non-coding RNA of Tachysurus fulvidraco (yellow catfish), 1094 nucleotides long. The record is from the annotation of a RefSeq genome assembly. NCBI's taxonomy places the organism in Eukaryota, Metazoa, Chordata, Actinopteri, Siluriformes, Bagridae.